GGCGGCUUCAGCGGUGUUCGCGCAAAACUGUGUCCGAUUUUAGUUACAUGAAUUAAGCGUCGAACACCGCUGUAGAUUCGCAUGUUUAAAAUGGCCGCGACCUCGUGUUCGGGAUACGAAUGGCGGCCACCCAGCAUUCGUCAAUUAAGCUGCGGUUAACCGCAGCUUCAGGGAGGUUAAUUGCCGGCACACUCCAGCUCCC
Non-coding RNA from Pelobates cultripes (western spadefoot toad), 202 nucleotides. The record is from the annotation of a GenBank genome assembly. Lineage: Eukaryota; Metazoa; Chordata; Amphibia; Anura; Pelobatidae.